ACACCGGCAGCUCUAAUGGUAGCUGUUUUUAUUGGGCCUAAAGCGUUCGUAGCCGGUUUGGUAAGUCACUGGUGAAAUCCUGUAGCUUAACUAUGGGAACUGCUGGUGAUACUGUUGAACUUGAGGUCGGGAGAGGUUAGCGGUACUCCCAGGGUAGAGGUGAAAUUCUGUAAUCCUGGGAGGACCACCUGUGGCGAAGGCGGCUAACUGGAACGAACCUGACGGUGAGGGACGAAAGCUAGGGGCGCGAACCGGAUUAGAUGCCCGGGUAGUCCUAGCCGUAAACGAUGCGGACUUGGUGUUGGGAUGGCUUUGAGCCGCUCCGGUGCCGAAGGGAAGCUGUUAAGUCCGCCGCCUGGGAAGUACGGUCGCAAGACUGAAACUUAAAUGAAUUGGCGGGG
This 401-nucleotide ribosomal RNA is filed under the name uncultured bacterium. RNAcentral's name for it is "partial 16S ribosomal RNA". It matches the Rfam family "Archaeal small subunit ribosomal RNA", at positions 473 to 873 of the family's 1478-position model. The record is from RNAcentral.